GCCAGUCGUACAAACUUUCAAAUAACUUUUACUCAUAAUGCAUACUAGAAUUUUUAUAUUAUAUACAAUUUCACUUUGUGUAUAUAUACAAUGUAAAACAUUUUAAAAUGAAAGCUAAUGUUCUCCUUUGAACUAAUACUUAUUGAACUCUUUACGUACGAUAUCGUUCAACCAUUUAAUAGGGUUUUGAAGAAGACAAACUCAGAACAAUCACUGCUGCCGAAUCCUUUAACUUACCAAUUAAAAAAUUAGGAAAAAAUGUGCAUCUUUAAAAUCAUAUACAUAUAUAUAACAUUAAAGGGUUGGGCAUUUAGCCUAUAGUCGACAGACUAAGUCAAUACUCUAUCCGAAUGUAUUCUUUAUCAUGCUUCAAUUAUAAUAGUGAUGGAAAUUAUUUGAAGUACAAAUUCCUCUAGUGUCCAAAUUCUACAUAAAAACGUAAUCCGAACAUAUGAACAACUGAGCAUUUAAAAGC
This 475-nucleotide long non-coding RNA is filed under the name Mytilus galloprovincialis (Mediterranean mussel). The record is from RNAcentral. Lineage: Eukaryota; Metazoa; Mollusca; Bivalvia; Mytilida; Mytilidae.